RNAcentral lists this ribosomal RNA (253 nucleotides) under uncultured bacterium. RNAcentral describes it as "partial 16S ribosomal RNA". It matches the Rfam family "Bacterial small subunit ribosomal RNA", at positions 524 to 776 of the family's 1533-position model. The record is from RNAcentral.
UACGUAGGGGGCGAGCGUUGUCCGGAAUAAUUGGGCGUAAAGGGCGCGUAGGCGGCCAGACAAGUCAGUAGUGGAAGCCCCAUUUUUAAGGUGGGGAGGGCUAUUGAAACUGUAGGGCUUGAGUGCAGGAGAGGUUAUCGGAAUUCCCGGUGUAGCGGUGAAAUGCGUAGAGAUCGGGAGGAACACCAGUGGCGAAGGCGGGUAACUGGACUGCAACUGACGCUGAGGCGCGAAAGUGUGGGGAGCAAACAGG